GGUACACGCUGUGACUAGCAUAUCAAUAAGCGGAGGAAAAGAAACUAACAAGGAUUCCCCUAGUAACGGCGAGUGAAGCGAGAAGAGCUCAAAUUUGAAAUCUUAAAGGGUUUCCCUUUACGAAUUGUAGUUUAAAGAAGUGUUUUCUGUUGAGGUUUUGGUAAAAGUUCUUUGGAAUAGGACAUCAUAGAGGGUGAGAAUCCCGUAUUUGACCUUUACUUUCAACUUUGUGAUACACUUUCAAAGAGUCGGAUUGUUUGGGAAUGCAGUCCAAAAUGGGUGGUAAAUUUCAUCUAAAGCUAAAUAUUGGCGAGAGACCGAUAGCGAACAAGUACCGUGAGGGAAAGAUGAAAAGAACUUUGAAAAGAGAGUUAAACAGUACGUGAAAUUGUCAAAAGGGAAGCGUUUGACACCUGUGUCGUUUUUCUGAAAAUCAAUUAAAGAACUGUUUAUGCUAAGCUGUUUAGACUUUAUCAGCUAUCUGUUUAGUUUUGAGCUUUUCUUUAAUGCACUUUUCAGUUAACAAGUCAACAUCAAUUUCUUUUGCUGUAAAAAAGCUUGAGGAAGGUGGCUUGAGAUUCGUCUUAAGUGUUUAUAGCCUCUUGCCUAUGCAGUCGGAGAGAUUGAGGUCUGCAGCGUAGAUCCUUCGGGGCUAAAUGCAUUUGUGCUAAGUUAUAGCAUUUUAUAGACAACUUGUUGACUAUGAUUUGUCUUGUAGCUUACUCGCUUAUGUUAUUUUACCUACGCUUAGGAUGUUGACGCGCGUGUGUGCGUG
Molecule: ribosomal RNA, 775 nt
Filed under: uncultured Neocallimastigales
Lineage: Eukaryota; Fungi; Neocallimastigomycota; Neocallimastigomycetes; Neocallimastigales
Description: partial large subunit ribosomal RNA
Rfam family: Eukaryotic large subunit ribosomal RNA
Source: RNAcentral